This 1097-nucleotide long non-coding RNA is filed under the name Anas platyrhynchos platyrhynchos (common mallard). RNAcentral describes it as "lncRNA (ENSAPLG00000028740.1)". The record is from RNAcentral. Lineage: Eukaryota; Metazoa; Chordata; Aves; Anseriformes; Anatidae.
CAAAUUAUUGAGGUUUUUCUCACAACAGGAUGGCUGGAAGAGGAGGUGGGGAUGUGCACAACCCUGGAGCAUCUCCUUCCUAAACCCGCUGCACGAAGCCGCGCCACGCAGCACAUCCCAGCACCAGGGGCCCGGCACUGCGCAGGGCUGGGGGGCGAUGCUGCCACGGAGCCACCAGAGGUGCCAGGAGGAGAGGAAAAAGGGGAGAAAAAAAAGGGGGGAGAGGAAAGGGGGGAAAGGGGGAGAAAAUUGUAUGGAAAGGGCUCAGGGUUUGGGAUAGGGACGGGGAGAUCACUCAAUAAUUAUUGUCACGGGCAAAACAGACUCAGCAUAAGGAGAUUAAUAAAUUUUUUUGCCUAUUACUAACAAGCUAGAGCAGUGAGAAGCUAAAAGCAAAUUACAAACACCUUCCUCCUGACACCUGCUCCAGCACGGGUCCCCCACGGGUCCCCAGACCCCCCGCUCCUGUGGGGGCUCUCCAUGGGCCGCAGCCUCCUCCAGGCCACAUCCACCUGCUCCACCGGGGGCUCCUCCACCCACGGGGGGGCUACAGCGUGGAGAUCUGCUCCGUGUGGCACCCAUGGGUGCAGGGGGACAGCCUGCUCCACCAGGGGCCUCUCCACAGCCCACAGGGGAUUUGCAGACCCGGGAGGUGUAGGGGUGUACAGACCCCCAUUUUGGGGUCAAAACCUCAUCCUGGGGGGCUGGCCUGGAGAGGAACGUCCCCCCAGCCCCUCGCUGGUGCCCUCCUGGCAGUGGGUGGCCACUCCUGAGCUGGCCAGCAGCAGGGGCCAAGGUCCAGGCGGGGAGCAGGGGGCAGCCGAGCCGUGCCCCGCGCAGCGCCAUGAGGCUGCGGCUGCUCUGUGCCCUCGCCGUGGCCCUCCUGGCCGUGGCCGGGGCCAACCCACGGGACUCCAAGAAGGGGAAAACGCUCACACGGGACCGGGAGGCGGGGACGCGCGGCAGGGGCCAGCGCCGGCCGUGCUCGGGGUGCUUCUCUGUGCUGAGCGAGGUGAGCGGGGACCGGGGGGGCUGGGGGGACGGGAUGGGGAUGGGGAUGGGGAUGGGGAUGGGGAUGGGGAUGGGGAUGGGGAUGG